GACGAACGCUGGCGGCGUGCUUAACACAUGCAAGUCGAACGCUGAAGCCCUGGCUUUUGUUGGGUUGGAUGAGUGGCGAACGGGUGAGUAACACGUGAGUAACCUGCCCUCUUCUUUGGGAUAACGCCCGGAAACGGGUGCUAAUACUGGAUAUUCACUGGCCUUCGCAUGGGGGUUGGUGGAAAGGUUUGUUCUGGUGGGGGAUGGGCUCGCGGCCUAUCAGCUUGUUGGUGGGGUGAUGGCCUACCAAGGCUUUGACGGGUAGCCGGCCUGAGAGGGUGACCGGUCACAUUGGGACUGAGAUACGGCCCAGACUCCUACGGGAGGCAGCAGUGGGGAAUAUUGCACAAUGGGCGAAAGCCUGAUGCAGCGACGCCGCGUGAGGGAUGGAGGCCUUCGGGUUGUAAACCUCUUUCGCUCAUGGUCAAGCCGCAACUGUGGGUUGUGGUGAGGGUAGUGGGGAAAGAAGCGCCGGCUAACUACGU
Molecule: ribosomal RNA, 485 nt
Filed under: uncultured bacterium
Lineage: Bacteria
Description: partial 16S ribosomal RNA
Rfam family: Bacterial small subunit ribosomal RNA
Source: RNAcentral